GAUGAACGCUGGCGGCGUGCCUAAUACAUGCAAGUAGAACGCCGAAGCUUGGUGCUUGCACCGAGCGGAGGAGUUGCGAACGGGUGAGUAACGCGUAGGUAACCUGCCUCUUAGCGGGGGAUAACUAUUGGAAACGAUAGCUAAUACCGCAUAAAAGUCGACAUUGCAUGAUGUUGACUUGAAAGGUGCAAAUGCAUCACUAAGAGAUGGACCUGCGUCGUAUUAGCUAGUUGGUGGGGUAACGGCUCACCAAGGCGACGAUACAUAGCCGACCUGAGAGGGUGAUCGGCCACACUGGGACUGAGACACGGCCCAGACUCCUACGGGAGGCAGCAGUAGGGAAUCUUCGGCAAUGGACGGAAGUCUGACCGAGCAACGCCGCGUGAGUGAAGAAUGUUUUCGGAUCGUAAAGCUCUGUUGUAAGAGAAGAACGAGUGUAAGAGUGGAAAGUUCACACUGUGACGGUAUCUUACCGGAAAGGGACGGCUAACUACGUGC
RNAcentral lists this ribosomal RNA (498 nucleotides) under uncultured Streptococcus sp. RNAcentral describes it as "bacterial SSU rRNA". It matches the Rfam family "Bacterial small subunit ribosomal RNA", at positions 28 to 508 of the family's 1533-position model. Lineage: Bacteria; Bacillati; Bacillota; Bacilli; Lactobacillales; Streptococcaceae. The record is from RNAcentral.